GGUACUCGAGUGGCGAACGGGUGAGUAACACGUGGGUGAUCUGCCCUGCACUUCGGGAUAAGCUUGGGAAACUGGGUCUAAUACCGGAUAGGAACCAUCUUUAGUGUGGUGGUUGGAAAGUUUUUUCGGUGUAGGAUGAGCUCGCGGCCUAUCAGCUUGUUGGUGGGGUAAUGGCCUACCAAGGCGGCGACGGGUAGCCGGCCUGAGAGGGUGUACGGCCACAUUGGGACUGAGAUACGGCCCAGACUCCUACGGGAGGCAGCAGUGGGGAAUAUUGCACAAUGGGCGCAAGCCUGAUGCAGCGACGCCGCGUGGGGGAUGAAGGCCUUCGGGUUGUAAACUCCUUUCGCUAGGGACGAAGCUUUUUGUGACGGUACCUAGAUAAGAAGCACCGGCUAACUACGUGCCAGCAGCCGCGGUAAUACGUAGGGUGCGAGCGUUGUCCGGAAUUACUGGGCGUAAAGGGCUCGUAGGUGGUUUGUCGCGUCGUCUGUGAAAUUCUGGGGCUUAACUCCGGGCGUGCAGGCGAUACGGGCAUAACUUGAGUGCUGUAGGGGUAACUGGAAUUCCUGGUGUAGCGGUGAAAUGCGCAGAUAUCAGGAGGAACACCGAUGGCGAAGGCAGGUUACUGGGCAGUUACUGACGCUGAGGAGCGAAAGCAUG
Molecule: ribosomal RNA, 663 nt
Filed under: uncultured Actinomycetales bacterium
Lineage: Bacteria; Bacillati; Actinomycetota; Actinomycetes; Actinomycetales
Description: bacterial SSU rRNA
Rfam family: Bacterial small subunit ribosomal RNA
Source: RNAcentral